GCCCGUCACACCAUGAGAGUUGGGAAUACCCGAAGCCUGUGAGCUAACUUAAAGAGGCAGCAGUCGAAGGUAGAGCCAAUGAUUGGGUGAAGUCGUAACAAGGUAGC
Molecule: ribosomal RNA, 107 nt
Filed under: uncultured bacterium
Lineage: Bacteria
Description: partial 16S ribosomal RNA
Rfam family: Bacterial small subunit ribosomal RNA
Source: RNAcentral